ACGGACUCCUACGGGAGGCAGCAGUAGGGAAUCUUCGGCAAUGGACGAAAGUCUGACCGAGCAACGCCGCGUGAGUGAAGAAGGUUUUCGGAUCGUAAAACUCUGUUGUUAGAGAAGAACAAGGACGUUAGUAACUGAACGUCCCCUGACGGUAUCUAACCAGAAAGCCACGGCUAACUACGUGCCAGCAGCCGCGGUAAUAAU
This 204-nucleotide ribosomal RNA is filed under the name Enterococcus sp. enrichment culture clone AVCTGRB10A. Its description in RNAcentral is "partial 16S ribosomal RNA". It matches the Rfam family "Bacterial small subunit ribosomal RNA", at positions 331 to 526 of the family's 1533-position model. The record is from RNAcentral. Lineage: Bacteria; Bacillati; Bacillota; Bacilli; Lactobacillales; Enterococcaceae.